UACGUAGGCAGCGAGCGUUUGUUCGGAGUUACUGGGCGUAAAGAGUGCGUAGGCGGUUUUCUAAGUUUUGGUGUGAAAUCUCCCGGCUCAACUGGGAGGGUGCGCCGAAGACUGGAAGGCUUGAGUAUGGGAGAGGUAAGCGGAAUUCCUGGUGUAGCGGUGAAAUGCGUAGAUAUCAGGAGGAACACCUGCGGUGUAGACGGCUUACUGGACCAUAACUGACGCUGAGGCACGAAAGCGUGGGUAGCAAACAGG
Molecule: ribosomal RNA, 255 nt
Filed under: uncultured bacterium
Lineage: Bacteria
Description: partial 16S ribosomal RNA
Rfam family: Bacterial small subunit ribosomal RNA
Source: RNAcentral